GAGAAGGGAGGUGGUUGAUCUUGGAAGCUAAGGGAAAUGAGGGAUUUGCUUGAAGCUAAGCACAUAUUGCUUGAGUGGAGAUUACCCAAGUAUGGUUACUAUGUCUUCAAUGUUUCCAUUAAAACCUUGUUCUUCUUCUCUGUUUGUCUUCUCUUCACUACCCUUUGUUGUUGCGCAUGGGUAGGCUUGAUAUGUAUAUAAAAGUUGUUUCUGGUAAUAGAGAUUUUCAUCACUGAAUGAACCCAUUUUAAAAGAAAUUUUCUGUCGGAUGAGGACUUUUUAUUUCCUUUUAGAGAGCACAUCCAUUCAUUUUUUGUGGGGCUCUCCUAUUAGAGGAGGGAGAAGGGAGGGAAAGAAAAAGAAAAGAAUCGGAGAAGGGAGGUUGUUGAUCUUGGAAGCUAAGGGAAAUGAGGGAUUUGCUUGAUGCUAAACACAUAUUGCUUGAGUGGAGAUUACCCAGGUAUGGUUACUAUGUCUUCAAUGUUUCCAUUAAAUCCUUGUUCUUCUCUGUUUAUCUUCUCUUCGCUGCCCUUUGUUGCGCAUGCAUUCAUUUUUUGUGGGGAUCUCCUAUUAGAGGAGGGAGAAGAGAGGGGAAGAAAAAGAAAAGAAUCGGAGAAGGGAGGUUGUUGAUCUUGGAAGCUAAGGGAAAUGAGGGAUUUGCUUGAAGCUAAGCACAUAUUGCUUGAGUGGAGAUUACCCAUGGUUACUAUGCUUUCAAUGUUUCCAUUAAAACCUUGUUCUUCUCUGUUUAUCUUCUCUUCAUUGCCCUUUGUUGGGCAUGCAUUGAUUUUUACUGGGGAUCUCCUAUUAGAGGAGGGAGAAGGGAGGGGAAGAAAAAGAAAAGAAUCAGAGAAGGGAGGUUGUUGAUCUUGGAAGCUAAGGGAAACGAGGGAUUUGCUUGAUGCUAAGCACAUAUUGCUUGAGUGGAGAUUACCCAGGUAUGGUUACUAUGUUUUCAAUGUUUCCAUUAAAAC
RNAcentral lists this long non-coding RNA (974 nucleotides) under Vitis vinifera (wine grape). Its description in RNAcentral is "long non-coding RNA (VVIN_LNC000372)". Lineage: Eukaryota; Viridiplantae; Streptophyta; Magnoliopsida; Vitales; Vitaceae. The record is from RNAcentral.